This is a non-coding RNA of Pelobates fuscus (common spadefoot toad), 419 nucleotides long. The record is from the annotation of a RefSeq genome assembly. NCBI's taxonomy places the organism in Eukaryota, Metazoa, Chordata, Amphibia, Anura, Pelobatidae.
UUCAGACACCUAUAGAGAAAAUGGAUCUGAUACUGAUAACAUAUGUCGUAGCAUGGGUAUCCUAUGUUGAUUCACAGACUCCACUGCUAACACCAAAUCAUCUCUCAGUGAAUAAAGGACAAACUGUAACGUUUACCUGUGAUGUUGGAGUUAAAAGUGGUUAUGCUACAGGUUUCCUCCGACAGUCACCAGGAGAUGUCCCACAGCUUCUAGUAUAUCAUCACCAUACAUACCCAGAACCUGCAUAUGGGCCUGGAAUGUCAUCAGCACAUUAUGGCUGCACUAAAAACAGUGCUGGGACACAGUAUCAACUGGUUAUCAAAAACACAGACACCUCGGAUACUGGUUUUAUUUACUGUAUUACAGGGUAUGACAAUGUAGGAAGACACUUUGUUACACAGCUGAACAAAAACCCUUAA